This 482-nucleotide ribosomal RNA is filed under the name uncultured bacterium. RNAcentral describes it as "partial 16S ribosomal RNA". It matches the Rfam family "Bacterial small subunit ribosomal RNA", at positions 30 to 507 of the family's 1533-position model. The record is from RNAcentral.
AUUGGACGCUGGCGGCAUGCCUUACACAUGCAAGUCGAACGGUAACAGGUCUUCGGAUGCUGACGAGUGGCGAACGGGUGAGUAAUACAUCGGAACGUGCCCGAUCGUGGGGGAUAACGCAGCGAAAGCUUUGCUAAUACCGCAUAAGAUCUACGGAUGAAAGCAGGGGACCGCAAGGCCUUGCGCGAACGGAGCGGCCGAUGGCAGAUUAGGUAGUUGGUGGGAUAAAAGCUUACCAAGCCGACGAUCUGUAGCUGGUCUGAGAGGACGACCAGCCACACUGGGACUGAGACACGGCCCAGACUCCUACGGGAGGCAGCAGUGGGGAAUUUUGGACAAUGGGCGAAAGCCUGAUCCAGCCAUGCCGCGUGCAGGAUGAAGGCCUUCGGGUUGUAAACUGCUUUUGUACGGAACGAAAAGACUCUGGUUAAUACCUGGGGUCCAUGACGGUACCGUAAGAAUAAGCACCGGCUAACUACGUG